This 301-nucleotide ribosomal RNA is filed under the name uncultured bacterium. RNAcentral's name for it is "partial 16S ribosomal RNA". It matches the Rfam family "Bacterial small subunit ribosomal RNA", at positions 509 to 807 of the family's 1533-position model. The record is from RNAcentral.
CAGUCGCCGCGGUAAAACGGAGGGUGCAAGCGUUAAUCGGAACUACUGGGCGUAAAGCGUGCGUAGGCGGUUCGUUAAGUCUGUUGUGAAAGCCCCGGGCUCAACCUGGGAAUGGCAAUGGAUACUGGCGAGCUAGAGUGUGUCAGAGGAUGGUGGAACUCCCGGUGUAGCGGUGAAAUGCGUAGAGAUCGGGAGGAACAUCAGUGGCGAAGGCGGCCAUCUGGGACAACACUGACGCUGAGGCACGAAAGCGUGGGGAGCAAACAGGAUUAGAUACCCGCGUAGUCCCUGUCUCUUAUAC